CGUCACAUGGUGGGCGCUGUGGCUGCGGCUGCGGCUGCAGCGGCCCCAGGUGCAAACAGACUGCCGCUGAAUGUGAGCAGCGAGGCGAGGGGUCGAGGUAGCGAGGAGUCAGGGUGGCCCGCAGCAGGAAGACAGAAGGCGUGGAGACAGACUGGCGUUUUGCCUCAGAGGAAGAAGUGGAGUCCCCCAUCGCAUUCUGUGUGCAAGUGCCAGUUCCAGUGAUUCGUACUUUCAUGUCCGAGGAACCUAGAGAACGGUGGGGGUAAAUAACGGGAGCCUGAAGUUUCUGCUCUGGCCUUGCGUGUUCGAAUCUCAUCGCUGAGACUUUCUUCUGCUUUGGAUCGCUUGUCCCAGGCUGUCGCCGCGCUGUGGCGUCUCCCCUCGUAGGAGCCUAACGCCAACCCCUGCGCCAGAACAAAAGGGUUGUGCCACCUCCUAUGGAUGUGAAGAGGAUGUGCUGACACGUGUGCUCGGGAGCCAGACUUUGUGGCCUUGGGGAAAGGACUGAAUAUUUCCGUGCUUCGUCGUUUGCAUGUGUGGAAUGCAGGUGAUACUGAGCUCUUCCUUGUGGGAUUAUUGCCUGGAAAUACACCAUUAUAUGUUCAUCGCCUCCAGGUUUACCACGAGACUCGGCAUUCUCGGGCCUCAGCUGAAUGGGUUUUAAACUGCGGAGGGAGGCCCAGGCGGAGAGGGUGUAGGCCCACUUUUCUCACUCGUGUCUAAGCAAGCCUUGUCCUGGCGGCAGCCAAGGUGAAGGCAGACGCUGUUUCCGGGAUCCAGUGGACCAGACCAGGCCAGGGGAUUUGGGCGUGGGCCUCCGAGGCGGCAGUGGGUGGUCCAGGGGCGUUGUGAAGCGGUCAGGCGCUGUGGAUGAGGAAGUGCAGGGCCCGCCUGCAGCACCGAAGUUUAGAAAGGCCAAACACUGCUCCUAACCCGUGCGGCAAGGACUGCCCCAUUCAGUAAGCAGGGCAAAAUCCCGCCGUGGCAAGCCUCUCCGUAGUUUCCCUGUGUGCUACACCUGGGCUGCUUCUGCUGGCUUCUUUGAAAAUGGAGAAGGGAGCAGAGGGAAGAACCUUGCAGGUAAUUCACAGGGAACUGACCCUAGGCAGCAUAGGCUCAGUUAUUGUUUGCCGUAUGUCAGAUUGUUUGCAUGUACUUGUGCACGCGUUUUCAAAUGCAUAAAACCCUAUGCAUGUUUCAAA
This is a long non-coding RNA of Symphalangus syndactylus (siamang), 1202 nucleotides long. RefSeq lists it as uncharacterized. Lineage: Eukaryota; Metazoa; Chordata; Mammalia; Primates; Hylobatidae. The record is from RefSeq and is a predicted model, not a curated record.